UUACGGUCAAAUCACGUCUGAAAACACCGGUUCUCGUUCGAUCACCGAAGUUAAGCAUCGUAGAGCCAGGUCAGUACUUAGAUGGGGGACCGCUUGGGAACACCUGGUACUGUAAG
Molecule: non-coding RNA, 116 nt
Organism: Acanthosepion pharaonis
Lineage: Eukaryota; Metazoa; Mollusca; Cephalopoda; Sepiida; Sepiidae
Source: the annotation of a GenBank genome assembly